UGGGGAAUCUUGCGCAAUGCGCGAAAGCGUGACGCAGCAACGCCGCGUGGGGGAAGAAGGCCUUCGGGUUGUAAACCCCUUUCAGGAGGGACGAAGGUGCGGCGGCGAACAGUCGACCGUACUGACGGUACCUCCACAAGAAGCCCCGGCUAACUACGUGCCAGCAGCCGCGGUAAUACGUAAGGGGGUAGCGUUGUCCGGAAUCAUUGGGCGUAAAGCGCGCGUAGGCGGCCCGGUAAGUCCGCUGUAAAAGUCCAGGGCUCAACCCUGGAACGCCGGUGGAUACUGUCGGGCUAGAGUCCGGAAGAGGCGAGUGGAAUUCCUGGUGUAGCGGUGGAAUGCGCAGAUAUCAGGAGGAACACCGAUGGCGAAGGCAGCUCGCUGGGACGGUACUGACGCUGAGGCGCGAAAGCGUGGGGAGCGAACAGG
This 429-nucleotide ribosomal RNA is filed under the name Bacillota bacterium. RNAcentral's name for it is "Firmicutes bacterium partial 16S ribosomal RNA". It matches the Rfam family "Bacterial small subunit ribosomal RNA", at positions 355 to 776 of the family's 1533-position model. The record is from RNAcentral. Lineage: Bacteria; Bacillati; Bacillota.